Molecule: ribosomal RNA, 253 nt
Filed under: uncultured bacterium
Lineage: Bacteria
Description: partial 16S ribosomal RNA
Rfam family: Bacterial small subunit ribosomal RNA
Source: RNAcentral
UACGGGGGGGGUAAGCGUUGUUCGGAAUUACUGGGCGUAAAGGGCUCGUAGGCGGCCAACUAAGUCAGACGUGAAAUCCCUCAGCUUAACUGGGGAACUGCGUCUGAUACUGGAUGGCUUGGAUUCGGGAGAGGAAUGCGGAAUUCCAGGUGUAGCGGUGAAAUGCGUAGAUAUUCGCAAGAACACCAGUGGCGAAGGCGGCUCACUGGCCCGAUACUGACGCUGAGGCACGAAAGCGUGGGGAGCAAACAGG